AAAAAAAAAAAAAAAGUGUUCACUACAUUCUUAUUUAUUCACUUGGUAUGCUUGUGUAGAAGUCAAAUGAAAACUCUGUGUGCACCAUGUGGGCCUGAUAGACGGACUCAAGUCCAUCCUGUCAGCAGGUGUUCUGCCCACGGAGCCAUCUCAACAGCCGUAGCUGAAUGUCUUUUGGCAUCUUAACACACUGGGCAUGAAUAGCACACAGGCUGGUACCGUCAAAAGGCUAACCAGAUAGACCUCCUAUAAAGUGCUAGUAUCUCCACUCUGGAGUACAGAUCUGUUUUGAAGUCCAGGGCGAUUUCUCACACUGAUGCUGGAGGGGGAGCUUGAGAGUCAGAAGUUCAGUGGACUGCUGGUGGUGUCUAAUUUUACAGUGACACACUGCCAAGCCUGUAGACCUGUGGCUCCUUCACCUGUGUAGUACAGGAUGCCCCCUAGGGAGUGGCUUUUGUAGUCACUGUUUCCUGGGUGCUUUACCAUGUAGGGAUUUGGAGGUAGUCUACUUUGUCUGAGCCAUAAUGUAGAAAUGCCCUUUCUUCUUUCCUUUCUCUCUGACAGGAGCUCAUUGAGAUCUUGGACCUAGGCAUACAAAUCCCAAUGUCAUUUUCUAUUCUGGGAAGUUUUUCUGUUGAAACAACUCCCUUUCUGUCAUAGCCUUGAGGUGCCUAGAGGAAGCAAAGCAUGGGUAGAAGCCAGCUUUUAGUAACUGUGUCAGAUAGUCAGGCUCCAUUCAACUGCUGCUCUUUAUUCCUUAGGUGAGAUUUGUUAAGACCCAAAGGACCGCUGCACUUGCUCUCUCUCCUGAGAUCCAGUAGCUACCUGAACGACAGCAAUGCAGCUGUGUUUACCCCGUUCGUUCAUCACCAAGUCCCCUCUAAAAGGCACAGAGCAGGACUCAAGAGGUGCUGACUAAUGAGGGCUGACGAAUGCAUCUUCCUCCAUCAGGUUGAAGAAUCAGGGCUUGAGAGGCUGUGUAUACAGGAGUCAGGCUCCUCAGCCAGCACCAGGGGUCUGAUUUUCUUCUCUAAGCUGGUGUUGAGGUGUCAGUGAAUGAGAUCUGAGGAUACUCCUUCAAAUAGCCUGAGUGCUGAGCCUUGUAAGUGGGCUUUGGUAAAUUCUCUCCUGUCUGGUUCCUAAGUGUAGUAACUGUUAACUCCAUCCACUGGGAAAAGCUGAUGAAACUUGUAGCAAAUAGACAUUGUAGCAAAAGUUGUAUUUAUAUUUCCUAGCGGUUAGGCUACUAGGACCCAAGAGGGUGGCUCAGCUCAGAGGCAGACUUUGCCUUAGACCUUCCCUGGUGUGUGUGUGUGUGUGUGUGUGUGUGUGUGUGUGCACAAGUGUGUAAGAGAAGGGUAAGGGUACAGGACAUCUAGCUCAGAGAGGAAGUUGGUGUCAUGAUGAAAGUGUAUUAAGCCUCCUGAGGAUGACAGUCUUGCAGGUAUUUGAGAACAGAUUUGGUCCCUUUCCCUCUUGCUUUUCCUUUCAGGAGAGUGACUGGCAUCUUCAGCUGGAGCUGUGUAUCUCAGCUGUAGUGGCCUGUACUCAACCGUUUUGUCCCUUUCUAUCCACAUCUCAGGUUGUUCUAUGAUUACCUUUGCGGUCACACAAUGGGCCAGGUAACAGCUUGCCUCUUUGUCUGCUGGGACAUUUAUAUGUUCCUUUCACAAUAAGAAAAGGAAAUCAGAGUGACUUAAGCCUGUCUGUGCUUAUGGUUAGGUCAGCCAGAGUGGCUGAGAUCAAAGUUACAAAGCAGCCUGAUCUCUGAUCUGAAGCCCGGACCCUGGAGGGGCCCAGAGGCCAGCUCCUUAGACCGUUCCAUGACACUGCCCAGUUGAACAUUCAAAGCAAGAACUUCCUCUUCUUCUGGUCUUACAAACUGUU
This 1887-nucleotide long non-coding RNA is filed under the name Mus musculus (house mouse). RNAcentral's name for it is "long non-coding RNA chr9:110354788-110356675". The record is from RNAcentral. Lineage: Eukaryota; Metazoa; Chordata; Mammalia; Rodentia; Muridae.